This is a long non-coding RNA of Chinchilla lanigera (long-tailed chinchilla), 2360 nucleotides long. RefSeq lists it as uncharacterized. The transcript has 3 exons. The record is from RefSeq and is a predicted model, not a curated record. Lineage: Eukaryota; Metazoa; Chordata; Mammalia; Rodentia; Chinchillidae.
AGUAGCCAGUCGUGAGCCUCUCGUGGGUGGGGGCACACAUUUGCACACUGGGCCAGUGGAACAAAUUUCAGUGAGUUAGUGACAUUAGAGACAGGAGUAAGGAUACAAGCCUUGCUCUACACCCAGUGAGAUUGUUUCUCUCAUCCCAGACUCUGGCCCGGUGAGCCAGGAGGGCAGGAAUGGAAGGACUGAGAGCUGAGGGUCCCCUCCCAGGGCCCAGGAGGCGAGAGUGCCUUGGAGGGUGCUCACCGGCCCUGUGCCUUUGGGGGUGUGUCCCUUGCUCUUGUUCUUGCUCGUACUCUUUCUUUGAUUCUUGGCUGCCUGGGUUGCGCAGCUUUCAUCCGCUGUGCCAUCUACCGUGCCGUCUGUGCCUUGGAGCCGGCCAACCAUGGACUGAACCCUCUGCAACCUCGAGGCAAAAACACCUCUCCUCCUUCAAGUUGUGGGUAUGUGUCCCCGUGACGAGUACACCACUUGUGCACGCCAUACCGUCUAGGUUUGUGUGAGCAGACUCCAGGACGUUCAUCUGAUGUAUCUCUCAGAGACAGGCACUGUGCUGGUGAUGAGCUCUUUCUGUGUUUGCAGUAUCCCUGAAGGAAGGCAGCAACUGUUCUCCUGCUUUACAGACCCCUGAUUCCUGAGAGUUCUGGGAGCCCUGGGCAUCCAGUCCAGAGGCCUGUCCAUCCUUUCUUCUGCACAGCCAGAAGGACCAAGCUGCCACCUGGACCCCUGCACUCCAUGGCUUGUCAGUGGAGAGAGAGAGACAGUCAGACAUAGACAGAGAGAGAAUUUGUCUACCAGGUUCUGAAAGAAACUGCUUUCAAGUGAAGGCUAAAAGGAAAGCAAGAAGAGAAGAAAGCAGAACCCAAAGGAAGGUUCUAAGAAAUGAAGAAAGGUGGAAGAUGGGUGCAGUCAAACUGGAGCUUCCAUUCUGGUCAAAUUGCAAGCUAGCUCCUGCCUCCCGGAGUAUUUAGUUACAGGCAAAUCCCGCAGGCCACCUGUUGUUUUAACCACUUUUCUUCUCUGGCGGAGUCACCAGGACGCUUUGCAACAGAGAAUGAUCCGAUUCUCCUGGGGGAAAUGAGGGAUAAAAUGAAUGAUAAACAUCCUGACUUCAGAACAUUAUACAUUUUUCAAUACCAGACCCCAAAAGCAUUAGAUUUUCAGCCUUAAUUUGAAUGCAAACUACUUGGAAGUCUAGCUUAGAUUUCCCACGUGGGUUUUAUUUUCUUUAGGGGACGGAGAAAGAAGACGACAGCACAGCCUUUCUGUCUGUUUGUGUCUGCACAGUGUUACUGUCUACGAGUUUCCUUUGAUUAGAUCAUUAUCUCCCACACUUGGCUCUGCUCACGAGGGAGGAGUGUGGGGCUGGUUGUGUGUCACACGCGCCCUAAUGACAGCAAUUUGCGUCUCCCGGCUUCUGCUCAUUUCACCAGCCUGAGCCCCCGAGGAAUUCCCCAAAGUAGGAUGUGCCCGGGGCUGAAGUUCCCAGGAGAAGGUAGCCGUCCUGGCAGACACCCCGGGGACCAGGAUGAGUGCUUAUGUUACUUCACAUCAACAUUAUCCCAUAAUCAAGAAGCAGCUACUGAGUCCCUAUCACUAGUACAAAUUCAGAUGUUAAGGGCGCGGGCCAAGGACUCCGUGUGGCUGGACGUUCGCUGGACCAUUUCGCAAAGUCCCCUCUUCCACCUAGUUCCCACCACCAGCGUGAGGGGCGGAGAAGCUGGGCCUCCUGCCGCCGCCUCUCAGAAGACAGCCCGGCAAGCCAGCAUCUUCCUUUGAAAUGGAGAUUUUGAUAAACAAAAACCAAACUUCAAAAACCUCUUGCCAGCGGUGCUGGGUACUGAGGGUCUGGGGGAGGGCUGGGUGAACCUAGUGAACGCCCUGGGCCCAGUCUCGGUGCCCAAGCUGCAGGGUGCUGGAGGACACUCGCUUCAGUCUCUGUACAGUCACAGCCCCUCCCUGUGUGGCGCUGUCCCCCGGCCUGUGAGAGCCCAGCUGCUGGCUUGACCGCCCACAAGAUGCUGGGCAGCCGGGGUGCAGCACGGGGCUGGGUUAUGUCGACGUGGGUAUGGAGACCGCAAGGAAAACAACCUUCCGCUGGCCUGAUUUAGAGUCGUAGGGCUUUAACAAAGCAGCUCUUUGACACAAAACACAGUAAUGGUUACUUGGACCUGGUUCAGUCUAUCAUGUCACCCUCUGCUCUGGGAGAUGUUACAAAGAGCUCAUGGCUCUGGUCCAGGGCCUGGUUUUACAAGUUUGCUGCUUAGAAGUGCAACUGUGUGCUGGCACGGCUGAUGCCCAGAUCUUUGAAUAGUUGUAGGAGUGCACGGGGGAAGAAGGAUUAAAGGACUAUAAAA